GCCUGGAAUAACACGAGGAAACUUGUGCUAAUACCGGAUAAGUCUUUACGGAGAAAGCUUUAUGCACCAUUGGAUGAGCCUGCACUUGAUUAGUUUGUUGGUGGGGUAAUGGCCUACCAAGACUGUGAUCAAUAGCUGAUUUGAGAGGAUGAUCAGCCACAUUGGGACUGAGACACGGCCCAAACUCCUACGGGAGGCAGCAGUGGGGAAUCUUGCACAAUGGAGGAAACUCUGAUGCAGCGAUGCCGCGUGAGUGAAGAAGGCCCUUGGGUUGUAAAGCUCUUUCGUCGGGGAAGAAAAUGACUGUACCCGAAUAAGAAGGUCCGGCUAACUUCGUGCCAGCAGCCGCGGUAAUACGAAGGGACCUAGCGUAGUUCGGAAUUACUGGGCUUAAAGAGUUCGUAGGUGGUUGAAAAAGUUAGUGGUGAAAUCCCAGAGCUUAACUCUGGAACUGCCAUUAAAACUUUUCAGCUAGAGUAUGAUAGAGGAAAGCAGAAUUUCUAGUGUAGAGGUGAAAUUCGUAGAUAUUAGAAAGAAUACCAAUUGCGAAGGCAGCUUUCUGGAUCAUUACUGACACUGAGGAACGAAAGCAUGGGUAGCGAAGAGGAUUAGAUACCCUCGUAGUCCAUGCCGUAAACGAUGUGUGUUAGACGUUGGAAAUUUAUUUUCAGUGUCGCAGCGAAAGCGAUAAACACACCGCCUGGGGAGUACGACCGCAAGGUUAAAACUCAAAUGAAUUGACGGGGACCCGCACAAGUAGUGGAGCAUGUGGUUUAAUUCGAAGAUACGCGCAGAACCUUACCAACACUUGACAUGUUCGUCGCGACUCUAAGAGAUUAGAGUUUUCGGUUCGGCCGGACGAAACACAGGUGCUGCAUGGCUGUCGUCAGCUCGUGUCGUGAGAUGUUGGGUUAAGUCCCGCAACGAGCGCAACCCUCACUUUUAGUUGCCAUCAUUAAGUUGGGCACUCUGAAAGAACUGCCAGUGAUAAGCUGGAGGAAGGUGGGGAUGACGUCAAGUCCUCAUGGCCCUUACGUGUUGGGCUACACACGUGCUACAAUGGUAUCUACAACAGGAAGCAAGACUGCGAGGUCAAGCAAAACCUUAAAAGAUACCUCAGUUCGGAUUGCACUCUGCAACUCGAGUGCAUGAAGCUGGAAUUACUAGUAAUCGUGGAUCAGCGUGCCACGGUGAAUGCGUUCCCGGGUCUUGUACACACCGCCCGUCACACCAUGGGAGUUGGUUCUACCUUAAGGCAAGGUUUCAAACCCUUGACCACGGU
Molecule: ribosomal RNA, 1282 nt
Filed under: uncultured bacterium
Lineage: Bacteria
Description: bacterial SSU rRNA
Rfam family: Bacterial small subunit ribosomal RNA
Source: RNAcentral